This is a long non-coding RNA of Felis catus (domestic cat), 5796 nucleotides long. RefSeq lists it as uncharacterized. NCBI's taxonomy places the organism in Eukaryota, Metazoa, Chordata, Mammalia, Carnivora, Felidae. The record is from RefSeq and is a predicted model, not a curated record. The transcript has 24 exons.
GGGGAAGAGGAAAUGGGUAGGGAUUUAUGCCUUUUGUACCACCCCAUCCUCCAUCUUUCUUGUAAGCACCCAGUGAUGUCCACGAAGAAUAACCUGCCCGCCUCCCCGGCCGCCGGCCACGGCUUCUGCGCCAGCACCUUCAUUCCGGAGCCCGAGGAGUCACUGUGCCACCCAUUGCACCACUACGUGGCGGCGGGCCUGCAGGCUUCCCCUCAUUCCCGGCGUCCACGUGUCCUUCCGAAUCAGCUUCCGCCCGCGCUCCAGGGUGAACCCUAGGGCCACUGCAUUCUGCAUGACGUCGGAGCACGCCGUCUACGGCUCUCAAGCGCUGACGGGCCACCGGCGCAUGCGCAGCUCUCACAGCUCAGUGAGCCCUGCGUGGUGCAUGGAGCCAUCGAGCGGCGUGCGAAGCAUGCGCGUCAGGUCUGACAUGCGCAGUGGUUUUCCUCUUUUACCCCUCCGCACUCUGCGGCGGCUUCUCAGGCUCGAGGGCUGAGGUCUUUGGCGGAGCAGUGACGGGACUCUGAAGCUGGGAAAGGCAUUGUUCUUGUCCUUGCUUGGGGGUUGAGCAUCAUCUGGGCAGCUCCUGCAGGCGGGCUUCUGCAGGAAGGGGCUGGACGAAGGCUACCUCCCAUCAGGGAAGCCGGCACCUGCUCCUGUGUCACAGGCCGCGCAGCAGCCCUUUCUGUUGCUCACAACGGGCUCCCCGCUGCUCUCGUGGGCCUGCAGCUGCCAGCGAUCUCCUCCGGGCUGGUGCAGAAUGUGCUCCAGGAUAGCCUCGCGCUCGUGCAGGCAGCAUUUGGCUCGACAACAGGGUCGUGGCAAGGUCGCAGAGUUGCAGCCGCCGUCGAAAUUGUAGACUUCAGUCCGGCUCUGUUAGAAGGUCUGGGUCCCGAGGCCUGAGGCCGCUGUGUCCCUCUCAAGGGCUUUAUUUUUGGACUCGAGUGCGGUAAUUGAAGAUUUCUGCUUCUGGCUAUGAUGGAUUAGUUUGCAGCUGACCAAACUGAAAGCCAAGAACACAAGAAACGGUAAAUACAAUGAGAACACAUUUUUGAAGGUACCAGAGAGUUAUCAAGGCAGUUAGAACGUGUACAGCCAAGAACCUGGAGAGAAGGAAAACACAUUGGAGGACAAGAGAGAACCUAAAUGAGACACGUACCUGGUGCGUUUUAUGAAAUGCCACAAACGUGACUCAGAACCAAAGCGGAUCGAUCGCCUUACGUGUGUGCAGAUGGCAGUGGAAUUCUAGUCAUGAACCUUCUGGCCUCCUUGGGAAAGAGCCUGAGCUGGCCCACUGGGGUAUGAGAGGGAGAAGCGUAGCCAGACCACCCGUGGGAGGAGAGGUGCCUCGCUGACCCACAGGUGCUCUACACAGAAGAGAGAGGCCAGCUGAGACCAGAGAGCUGCCCAGCUGGCCUGUAGACUAGUAUUUUAUGGCUGACAGCAGAAGAGUUAGCAUUACCUGUCUGCUUGAUGAUUGAAGGUGUGCAUUCACCUAACUGACACAUUAGGGUAAGUCACAGGUAGCUGAAAUAUUUCUGACCUUCAAAUCUAAGGAACCCAUAAAAAGAUUCAAGAUUCUAUCAUCUUUACAUGAACCAGGAUUUGGCAUACCUUUGAUCUAGUAGAACACGUGGAGUGUUGAAUCAAGAACGCUCUGUAGCAAAGACCAGAGAUCGAAACCUUGUACUUGGUGUAACACAAGCAACAGAAGGCAGGUGAAGAUGCCCAUGAAUGCCGCUGGAUGCAGGACACUGACCAUGCCUAAUGCUAAGGCUGACCUGGCUUUUGCAGUUAAUGGAGCUAAUGUGCAGAGCACUAUUUGCUUUUCUGUGCUCCAUACCCGUCACCGUCAAGUGAUUAAUAAUGUUGAAAAAUAUCAACAUUCGUGUGAAAGUUAAGAACACGUCAGAAGGCUGAUAGCCCCUUCAAAGUCCCCUGAGAGGAGAGGAAGAGAGGAGUGAUUGAACUGGAUGGAGACACCAGUGUUCAGUAAUGUUGAAAUCAGAAUAAUUUCAAGAGCAGGCUCGCUUUGGCUGCACGUGUACUAAAGUUGGAACAGUACAGAAAGAUUAGCGUGGCCCCUCAGCAAGGAUGAUGUGCAGAUCCAUGGAGACUAGUUUCAGGAGCUAAAUCAGAGUGUUGUGAAUAGUCAUAGAAGCAAUAGCGAAGAGCAUCUGUCACGGAGAAAUGAGCGGUCCUUGGCCACAGCACAUAAAGCUGCUCCAUGGAGCUGGGGAGCGUGCCCUGUGGUCUGUGCAGGGGCUGAAAAUGUCAAGACUUGAGAAGGACUCGUCUCCUCUGUUCCCUUCAGGAUGUUUUAAUGAUUACCAUGUGAUUACAGAUACACUGUUUUCUUUUACUUCUUGAAAGACGUGGGGAGAUUAAAGCAAACAGACAACUGAUACCAAAUUGCUAAAUUAAAGGAGGAAGCUCCCGUGAACUCUGGGCUGGACGCCGUCCAGAAGGGGGUCUACCUUGCUGUGACAGGCCUUGAGUCAUCCGCUCCUCUGGCCGGGCCCGUCAUUCCGGAAUCUCUAAAAUGCUUCUAUGAGAGAUGCGGCUCCAUAGGUCAACUUGUCUUCUACACCAAGAUUGCUUUUUGGGUUCAGAGGGAUGAAGUGAAGACUCCCAGCCCCUGCACAUCCCUGCUGGAGCCUUAUGUACAAUAUACAACCCAGACAGACCAGGUGUAGCAUGCUAAAAAAUAAGUGCAGAGUUAAGUUUUGAUCAAUGGAGCGAGAAGAAAUGGAUGCCACAGGAGAAAGGAUCUAACGCUCUCCCGGUGAAUUGAGAAAGGCAGGUACACAAUUUGUGAAUGACUAAAGAGAUCUGACUGUACCAUGGAAACCUCAUUGUUGACUUCUGGCCAAUCGCGAGUAACUUCGGUAUCUAAUUCAGAAAAGAAUGGUCUCUUGCUCUGGCCAAAGCAAAAGCUGCAGCAACAUUAAUGGAAGACAGACUCUGUUCUAGGCUAUUUACAACAGGGGACAGGACAACACUCAACUCAAUGUCACUGAGCUCAACUUCACUGAAGUUGAAUGAGGGCAGAAAAGAGUUCCUUGCUUUGAAAUACAUGAAGAUCAGAAAAGUGCCCUCAGGCAAAGAAGAUGCAGCUUUUUAAGAAAAGGAUCCAAUUUGGGAAGGAGGAACAGUGCUUCCAUGGCCACACAGAGCCCCAGCCAGACAACCUAGGACCACAGAGGAAAAAUUGCCUUGUUAAAGAGUCGUAAACUUUGAGUGACCCCACAUAUGCGAGGCUGGCAUUGGACCUGACUGAAGACUCUUUCCUGACCAAGGAGCAUGAGGAUUUGCGUUAACUAAUCCUGAACAGACCAAUGGAGACCUCCUGCCUGUCCAGAGGGAUAGUUCUCGAGCCUUAAUGGGCUCAUCUGCCAUGAAAUCCCCUGCCUGACUUCCCCCCAUCUAACACCUCAGUGGGAUUCUUCACAGAGCUGAUUACUCAAAUCAUUCCAUGUGCUAGCACUUGUAUGUGAAUGGAGGAGUUCUUCAAGCUCUUAUCCCCAGGGAUGCACGGGCACAAGCCAGCACCAACAGAAGUCGGAGUCAUGAGUGCCACCAUGAGAAAGGGAUGUUAUACCCUCCCUUCCUAAAAUAACUCUUCCUCCGGCAGGCUGAAGCCCUGCUGAAGCAUGGAGGCUACACACAGAGCCAGAACAAGGCCAGGUGCCUAGUGAGACUCUGGAACUCAUCAGCUUCCCUGGCUAGCUUGUCAUAUAUUCUUGACAAGUUCCAAAGCCAAGAUAUGCCUGGCGUGGGAAGAGACACUCGGGAAACUGUAUCUGCAGGUUUGGAGCCUCCCAGAGACUAUACAUGUUAUAGCUCUGGUCUCAUACCCAUCGAUAACUAUGCAUCAGGCUGGCGCUGGGCAAAAUGAAACCAUCUUUCAGAAGCAGUAGGAAUGAUAAAGGUAAAUGCAACUUUAGAGGAGUUAAAUGACCAUUGGAGCAACUCAUCUCCGUAACAGCUUUGAGAUAUAAUUGGCACACAGCAAACCACGCACAUUCAGACUUUUGGCCCACAUAUACACUUGGGAAACCAUCACCACAAGCAAGAAAAUGGAUACAUCUUGUUUCAUACUGCUGACCCAAACCAUGAUAGAUACUGUGGUGUGAGGCGCUCCCCACAUUUGGGCCCCUCAUGUAAUAUUGCAAUCUACAGGUCAAGAAAAGACUCAAAGACAGCAAAGCUCAGGUACUGUACAAGGGACCCAAUGGUGGUCAAGAUGCCCACGUGCCUCAAAAGAAAGUUUAGACUAAGGGGAAAAUUAUAAAGAAAGAAGAAAAAAGUAAUAAUGGGUGUAGUAUGCUGGAUGGAGUUGCUUAUUUCUGUUGAAAAGGCAGGAUGAUAUGGGGCGCCUGGGUGGCUCAGUCGGUUGGGCGUCCGACUUCACCUCAGGUCAUGAUCUCAUGGUUCGUGAGUUCGAGCCCCAUGUCGGGCUCUCUGCUGACAGCUUGGAGCCUGGAGCCUAUUUCGGAUUCUGUGUCUCCUUCUCCAUUCCUCCCCUGCUCACACUCUCUCUCUCUCUCAAAAAUAAAUAAAGAUUUUUAAAAAAUUUUUUAAAAAAGGCAGGAUGAUAAAGGAAGCAAUGGCAAAGAUCCUCAGUAGGGUGUUGGUGGCAAAAUCUUGUGGCCUGAAAGAUGCAAAACCAACUUUAGCUCUGCCUGUGACACCCACAAACCUUCACAGCACCUUCACAUUCACUGCAUAUCACCUAAUAUGGAUAAGCAUAAAUCCAAUUAUAUAAAUCCAUGAUUUGGAAUGGAAAAUACAUAAAGAAGGACAGAAUUUAUUCCCUAGUUAAAACGGUAACAUUUUUAAAGGAAACUGAGGGUUUGGGAUUUGCUCACCCAACUCUCAGGAGAGCAAUUGAAGGAACUAGAAAUUAUGUGGGUGGAGUGGCCUCUGGGAAAUAACUAAAAUAUUUAGAAUGAUUGCCCUUGGGACCCAGUGUAUCAUAAUCCCCAUGGGGGGUGGAUGGGACACCCAAGAGGACUUUAAGGUGAAACUAUCAACAUGCCAUGAUAGAUAAUACCAGAUAAAGGUUAAACUCUAAUUUGGAAAACUUGAUGAGAGAAGGUUUUCGCUGGUUGCAUCACCUUUAUUAAAAUGCAUAAUUGGGAUGGGUGCCAUGUGUACAUGGAGGACGAUGUCUCUCCCAUUAUUAAAUUGUCUUCCAUGUCUGCCUUCAGCCUGGUCUCAACUGAAAUACUAAAUGAGAAUCUUUGCAAUUCCCAAGCCCUCCUCUGUAGAAAAUAUUAAACAAUAUAAAAUUCCAGGAGUGCAAGAGGAGAUUAAUGCUUUAGUUAGCAUUAAUGGUUGGAGCAGGCGUAUUGAUCUCCAUUAAUUCUCUUUUUAACAGCCCUUUCAAGCCAAAAGGCAAAGCAGAUGAUUUGCAGAUACUGAUAGUAGACGAUUGGGAAUUCAUCUAGGUAGGUCUACCAGUUGCUUCAGAUGCAUUGUAGAUAUGAUUUCAAAAAAACAAAAACAAAAAACUUUGCACCAAAAGGCAAUGGGCCAAAGGAGACUAGUAUGUAAUAUCGAUUUAGUUCAUGUUUGCUCUUCUAUUUUUAUUUCAGAAGCUAGUCAAGUACAAUUUGUGUUCAUGUGUUCACCAGUCACCAUCUAGUGUAGCUUCACAUGGUCUUAAUAACCAUUAAGACUAAGGUGGCGGGCAUCUGGGUGUCUCAGUUGGUUAAGCGUCUGAUUUCAGCUCAGGUCACAGUCUCACAAUUUUUGAGUUCGAGCCCUGCAUCAGGGUCUGUGCUGACAGCU